Ornithodoros turicata is the source of this 4097-nucleotide long non-coding RNA. RefSeq lists it as uncharacterized. The transcript is spliced from 2 exons. The record is from RefSeq and is a predicted model, not a curated record. NCBI's taxonomy places the organism in Eukaryota, Metazoa, Arthropoda, Arachnida, Ixodida, Argasidae.
UUGACAGAAUUUCUUUAUAUGAUUUCACCUGCCGGCAUCUAACGUGUAGUCCAUGUAGAGAGAGAGAGUCCAUGGCUGGUUACCGGAAAUAAUAACAUUUCAGAUUCUCCUCGGACACCUAAAGAAGCCGUCUUUUUCUUCCUGUUGUUGCUCCCAGAUACACCGGGUGUUUGCUGUAACGUGUCUAUGAAUUAUAUAUAUACAUGAAAUCUAGACAUUGUAGAAUGUUACCGCUUGCUGCAUUGGUCUUUAUGGCACUUUUGUCACCAGCAAAGACCGAUUUCGUCAACCUUCUUCUGCUAUAAAUUCAGUUAUUAAAAUUGAUAUCGCCAAUGUUCCAGGUCAACUUCACGUUUUUUUUUUUUUUCCAACGAAAAUUUAAACACAUGUCCGAUUUACCCCAAAAGAGGCUCCCCGGGGAAAACACAAGAGAAAAAAUGCAAACACCGCUGUUUCGGAGUUCUCAAGUUGCCCGGCGCGCGUAUUUCAGCGCCAAAGAAGUCAUUCUUCCUCCGAGAUAUGGUACGAUAGAAGCGUCAGGAGAAAAUCAAGACGGGACCUUUCAGAGGCUGCAGGUUUUGUGCGAUUAAGGCACGUCAAGGGGGUGAAGUAACGACGGCCCGCAUGGCGCAGAAAUACGCGCGGCCGGCUACGUGGGAAUCCCGAAACGGCGAUUUUUGCAUCUACGUGUGUGUAUUUCCGCAUGCAUUUCCGGAUGCAUUCAGUCAUGUUUCGGCGUAAAUCGAACAUGCACUUUCCAUUUCCGCUGGAAGAACGUUGAGUAGACUUGGCAGAUUAGCGAAAUCACUUUUAAAAGUUCAAGUUAUUGCAGCUGAAAGUUGACAAAAUCGGUCUUUUCUGGUGUUAAAAGUGCCGCCAACACAAAUGCACCAAGCGGCAUCGUUGACGUCUAGAUUUCUUAAAAAGUAUCACUCACGGACGCGUUACACCCCGUAUACGACACUCGUUUUGGUUUCUGUUUGCUUGAGAUCAUCCGUCUGUUUCCACAUUACAUGGUGUAAACAGAGACACAGUACUACUGGCAAAAAUCGCUGACAUACGCGACCGUGAACGCAAUCAUACACAAACGCGAGGGUCUGUGUGUUGUUAUCCCCUCGCUCUGGGUCAUGUACUUCACCCACCAUCUAGUCGCUAUCAAUUUACCCGCCAUAUUAUAUAUAAAACACUGAUGACUUCAACGAAAAGUCCAUCACGGAUAUAACACGCUACCUUCAGUUAGAAUUUAAAAAAAGGAGGAUUACGAUAGGCGACUUCUGUUACUGCUGUUGGUACCUGUGGUGUCUUACGCCGUACGUACAGCAUUGACGAACCAGCCAGCAUCCUUCAGUCCCAAACUUUAUUAAACUUUCCCUCGUGCCGUGAUGUCCAUAGCUAUAUGCUGCGACAUAAGCUACCUUUCUGUUUCGGUUUCUCGUGAUGACGACGAAGCAAAUGUUUAGUUUCCUCUUCUUGGUUACUUGCGCAAUUCGCGAUGAAUAACGUUAGUACCCUGAUCAUCACGUAAUGCGAAAUUAAAAGUUAGCGUCUUCCACAUUAACAUCAGAACAACUUGCACACUAACUUUCUAUAACGCAUCGCCAACUCUCUGUGAGAAGCGUCACGAAAACGAGAGCGAACGCAGUAGCAUAUAGGGUAUAACAAAUAUGAGUGAUCGGGAUUCCUGUUAACGUGUUUAUUUCUACGAACCUCUGUGUCGCUGCUGUACUUGACGGUCUCCAAAUCCCACCAGCUGAGCAGCACACGUUGUUGGGCUGCUUGGUGUCUUGCAGUACAGAAGAUAGCUCUAAGAACGGACUACCACUAAGAGGAUAUAGACGGGACAAGUGCUCGUCCCGUCCACAUAUUUCCGGUGUCGUCCUUUCGGAGCUCAUUUUAUUCGCAGUAGAACGCACCGCACUCAAAGCAAAAGUGAAAAGUGGCAACCUUAGUACGCCUCUUACGGCGUGACGACCGCUACUGGGCUCAACAGCUCUGAGGGGACUUUCCGUGCUACUACAUGCACUACAUUGUAUUACUGGUGUGUGUACAGCGAACAUUUCUACGGACCUACAUCUUAGUUAAUCGAACAUUUUCAUGGUGACUUCAAAUUCAUCCGUGUUCCUUAUCAGUUCCCUCACUAUCACGUCUGAAUAUUUUAAGUUUGCGUUUCUUGAUUCGUCACACUCAACCAGGGAUGGGGAUAAAUACACUUUUCGGGUAUUUGAAUAUAAAUACAAAAUACUACCUGUUUUGAUAUACUUAAAUAGUGCCUAUAAAUACUUUAUGGUGAAAGUAAUUCAAUACGAAAUAUAAAUACAUUAUGACAGUAUUUAAAUACUGUAACUACUUCCGUAAAUACCUUGAGCCGUGCAGGCACUAUAUUCUUAGUGUAUAGUGUAAAUUAUAAGUGUAAAGUAUAUAUAGUGUGUAAAUUAGUGUAUAAGUAGAGCUACCCUCUAAGAAGGUCGAGAUAAGUGCUUGAUCGGGAAAAGAGCAUCUUUUUCAGCCUCUAUUAAAGGGACUCUGACCAGAAACUGUGGGAGCUCUUUCGUACCUGUAGUCGAUAAAGCACCCAACAAGGACUCUCCAUGCGAAAAUUCACGCAUUAAAACCCCACGGUUUCUCUAAACUCGAAUUUUAAACAUUCGACUUCAUCCGAGUGCAGCACGCCUAGCGUCAAACCGAGAAAACAUACGUUUAUAUAGAAUAUCCACCCCGGCCCACCAUCAAGAUGACGUCAACACGGGGGCCACUCGCGACACCCACAAUUGGCUCAAACGCGUCACGUGGUCACGCAAUAUCUGUCAAUUUCCUUCAUGAAAUGGCAUUUCUACGUUAAUAUGUUUUUGUUACAGAGCCUCAAAAAGAAAAAUAUACCCUGCAUUUAUGACCUGCAACAGUUUCUACGAUUUUCUUUUCAAUCUGUACACGGCGUUCGAUAUAUGCUUCCGUAUCCGGUCAGCUGUAAUGGAUGCCGUAUGCCGAGCUUGCGAACUGCGAACUUGUGUGACUCCCGGUUCAUCCUCUUUGUUCGGGUCAUUGGGUUGGUGUUGGAGUUGGUCACCAUAUUCUGAACGUUUCACCUAUCGUUGCGGUGUACUGUUCUUGAUCUGCUGCGAAGCGACGAACCGCAACGGCAGUCACGCGCCUCAGCGAACUUCUGUCUGCUGCAUCUCAAAGGAGCAUGGGGACCUGAUGAUACUCUCAACUAAAAACACCAAAUGUGCUCUCGUGUGGUCCUGACGGAAAAGUAGUAUCAACAAGGUUAGCACAUUUAUUUUUCAGUUCCAAGUCUACGUACUGAAAACCAUGCAGGUCCAGUCGAUCAUUCUCGUAGCUGUUGUGUAACGCGUAUGCUUUCUUACAUAUCCCACGGAACCCUCCACUUUUUCGACCAAGUUAUCGUUAUGAGAUCCUUGUGAUGGCUUCUUACUAGGCUAUGCCGCUCCGAAGCAUUGAGAUGACGAAGCGUCGUGGUAGCUGCACCUCUGCCUUCGAAAGAUGAAUCAGUCAUUCCACACUGUGCUUACUGGCUUUGUAUAGAGUCUGACAAAUCCGACAGACUUGGACUGCCUUUUUCAAGAAAGUUUGAAAUAGCAUCCCUUAUGCACCUGCAUUUCAAUUCCAAUCUGUAUUACAAGAAUGACAGACCACUCAACAGAGAUGAACAUCUGAAAGUGAAAGAGCUGGAACGAAGAUACGUUAAUCUGUGUGAAAGGUGUUUAGCAUGUGUGUGAGUCGAGGACACAGGUCUCAAGCUUAUUCCUGUCUUCAGAAGAGGUGAAAACUAUGCUCCUUCUAUCUAUUAACCAGCUCCACAUUUUAGGGUUCCCUGUAAACUAAUGGAGCACAUCAUGUACUACCACGUUGUCAACCAAGUUGACUCUGUCAAUUUCUUUUUUUAAAUUCCAGCAUGGCUUUAGAAAAGGGUAUUCAGGCAAAACUAACGUAGUGGAAUUCGUUCACAGCAUUUCAAACUGUCUUGAUUUCUGGGUCCACGUAGAUGUAGUAUUCUUUUUAUUUUGUAAGGGCUUUUGACACUGUGCUCUACGCUCGCGUGUUGGCCAAAGUAGCCUAAUUAAAAUUUGAUCCUGCUA